AUGGUUUCUUCUGUUCCAUGCACUUUGAAAUUUUAUACACUGGGGUUGAACUUUUCUUGCCUGGCUAGAUUUCUUCCUGCCUUGGUGGACUUUGAUGUUUUGAUCAGUCUAAUUGUUGAUAGCUACAUCUGCAUGUUCAUUCAUGGCAUUGACAUUGAAGUUCUCUCCCCAGCCUUAGCCCUUAGGCUGGUAAAAAUAAAUCCACUAGUCCCUAUUGAUACACAUACAUACAUACUCCCUCCGUUCGAAAAUACUUGUCAUCAAAAUGGACAAAAGGGGAUGUAUCUAGAACUAAGAUACAUCUAG
This 306-nucleotide ribosomal RNA is filed under the name Triticum aestivum (bread wheat). Its description in RNAcentral is "partial small subunit ribosomal RNA". Lineage: Eukaryota; Viridiplantae; Streptophyta; Magnoliopsida; Poales; Poaceae. The record is from RNAcentral.